AACGAACGCUGGCGGCAGGCCUAACACAUGCAAGUCGAACGCCGUAGCAAUACGGAGUGGCAGACGGGUGAGUAACGCGUGGGAACAUACCCCUCGGUUCGGAAUAACUCAGGGAAACUUGAGCUAAUACCGGAUACGUCCGAGGUUUUAAUCGGCCUUGGAGAAAGAUUUAUUCGCCGGAGGAUUGGCCCGCGUCUGAUUAGCUUGUUGGUGAGGUAAUGGCUCACCAAGGCGACGANCAGUAGCUGGUCUGAGAGGAUGAUCAGCCACAUUGGGACUGAGACACGGCCCAAACUCCUACGGGAGGCAGCAGGUGGGGAAUAUUGGACAAUGGGCGAAAGCCUGAUCCAGCCAUGCCGCGUGAGUGAUGAAGGCCUUAGGGUUGUAAACCUCUUUCAGCUCCGACGAAGCGAAGUGACGGUAGGAGCAGAAGAAGCACCGGCCAACUACGUGCCAGCCGCCGCGGUAAC
Molecule: ribosomal RNA, 470 nt
Filed under: uncultured bacterium
Lineage: Bacteria
Description: bacterial SSU rRNA
Rfam family: Bacterial small subunit ribosomal RNA
Source: RNAcentral